GAUCAUGGCUCAGGACGAACGCUGGCGGCGUGCUUCAUACAUGCAAGUCGAACGAGAAGCUCUCUUCGGAGAGUGGAAAGUGGCGGACGGGUGAGUAAUAUGUAGAGAAUCUGCCCUUGAGCGGGGGACAACAGAGGGAAACUUCUGCUAAUACCCCAUAUGAGCUUAGUUGAAAUACUAAUUUUGAAAACUCCGGUGCUCAAGGAUGAGUCUGCAUCUGAUUAGCUAGUUGGUGGUGUAAUGGACUACCAAGGCGACGAUCAGUAGCUGGUUUGAGAGGAUGAUCAGCCACAAUGGGACUGAGACACGGCCCAUACUCCUACGGGAGGCAGCAGUAGGGAAUUUUGCGCAAUGGGCGAAAGCCCUGACGCAGCAACGCCGCGUGAACGAUUAAGCCCUUCGGGGUGUAAAGUUCUGUCAGUAGGGACGAAUUUUGACGGUACCUACAGAGGAAGCACCGGCUAACUCCGUGCCAGCCGCUGC
RNAcentral lists this ribosomal RNA (483 nucleotides) under uncultured bacterium. RNAcentral's name for it is "bacterial SSU rRNA". It matches the Rfam family "Bacterial small subunit ribosomal RNA", at positions 15 to 518 of the family's 1533-position model. The record is from RNAcentral.